CCACCCUAAUCGUCGAAUCCUUCCUCACCUUAUCUCGUCGCCGCCCCGAUUCUUCCUCCUCUCUCACGCCGUUUACUCUCUGCUCUUCUUCUUCUCCUCAUCUUCUCCAACCGGCGCCCCUUUCUCUUCUUCCGCGUCAUCUUCCCUCCUCUGCCGUCGUCUCCUCGUCGCGGAGGUCCUCACCACGCCGAUUGUCACGAGAGCACCGCCGGCAGCAGUCCUUCUCUCCGCGAGCCUCACCAACACCAAGCUCUCUGGGCUAUCAGGCGGCCCGAUCCUCUUCUACUUUUCCCCUUGAGUCUCUGCCCUAGAUGCAGCCGACGUCAUCGCAUCCGACCACAGUACCUGCAAUUUUGGGCGGCUAGCGUCGCCGCCAUCUCUUUCACCGGCUGCCACUUCUUCCUCUUCCAUCUGCCACCGUCGGAGAGCUGAGUACACAGGAGAGUAGGGUUGUUCUUCCGCGUAUCAGCAGUUGCGAGGGGUUACCACGCGUUGCCCCCUUCAAUUGUGCCGUGGCCAUCCGGUCAGCCACAAGGAGAUCCAUUGCUGCGGUGACCCCAUUUGUGCUUGGAUUUGUGCCACUGUCGUGUAUCGGUGAAUUCUGAGGCGGUGAGGGUUGUUGGACAGAUUUACCAUCGUCGGAAGAGCCACAAACUGCUGAUAAGGGUGACAUUUUGUAUCUGGUAUGACGACCCUUAUUUCCAAAUAGGAGGUUCUGGUUGAUGCCGUUAGGAGGUUUCAGUUGCUAGUCCCCUCGUCACAAGGAUUUUCGCUUUGGUCUUUCGAUUUCUGUUUAUUUGUUUAGUGUCAUGUUAUAGACUCGUAUUGGUUUGUUCAUUAGAUUUGAGUGAUUUGUUUUUAAGCAUUGUACUGGUUGGGUUUUUGGUUGCUUGGUGAAUUUGUAUUUGGUGUGUUUUGCUUCGUGCCUGCCGGACGGCAGAAGAGGUAAGUUGUGAUUGUUUUCGAUUCCUUUUCGUAUUGUGUUGAUAGCCGGAGGCUGUUUUUAUUAUAAUUGCGUGGAAUGUUUCAUUUUUGUAUAGUAUAUAUUCCAGCCGUGUUGGCUGAUGAGUGUGAGCCCUGAGGGCAAUGUAGAAACGUUUCAGAUUGUCACCCGUAAAGGGGAGAUGUUGUCGAAAUUUCUUCUGGCAGGGACUACCUGGGGCGUGACAAUCUCGGUGAAGUUCUUGACACGCUUGGUUGAAAAGAUGGAUGUUGGGGUCCAUG
Zingiber officinale is the source of this 1224-nucleotide long non-coding RNA. RefSeq lists it as uncharacterized. NCBI's taxonomy places the organism in Eukaryota, Viridiplantae, Streptophyta, Magnoliopsida, Zingiberales, Zingiberaceae. The transcript has 5 exons. The record is from RefSeq and is a predicted model, not a curated record.